RNAcentral lists this long non-coding RNA (25522 nucleotides) under Malus domestica (apple). Its description in RNAcentral is "long non-coding RNA (MDOM_LNC007802)". The record is from RNAcentral. Lineage: Eukaryota; Viridiplantae; Streptophyta; Magnoliopsida; Rosales; Rosaceae.
AAAAAAUAAUGUCUUCUCACAAGCCUCCAACAUGUUGAAAAAGUCGAGACAUGUUCUAAUGAAACCAAAAGGGCCUUCCCACUCAAUAGUUCCAUCUGUAGUGACACUGCAUAAUGAAACCAAAAGGGCCUCCCCACACAUUGCAACAAUUCCAACAAAUUCAGUAGCUCUUGCUCGUGAACGAAGAUCCUCAUCAUUACUAAGCACCAAGAAACUUUUCAUCAACUCCAAAACCCUUUCAGCAUACGGAACGAAUGCCUGCUCUGCCGCAGAUGCCACCGAACCAAUCGCAGACUGCAAAAUGAUGCAAAUCAAUAAAUUUAAAACCAAACCAUUCACUGAAUAUAUAUAUAUAUACACACACACACAUAUAUAAAAUUAAUUUACUUUAAAUCUUUAGGUCAAAGAAGACCACCAUACCAUGCAUGUCUCCUGUAAAUUACGAGGGCUAUUAUGGAGGGCCCCCAGUAGUUUUCCCAUCAACGGAUCAAGGAAUGGAAGAAUUUCCUCACCCAUGUUGUCACAAAAUGCUGCCAAAGCAUAAUACGACUUCUCCUGCACAUAAAGAUUGUUUUAGUCAUUAUCAAAUACAUAUGAAUAAACUAUACCAAUCUUCUAAUUUCCUUCUACCAAACAUACCUUCACUUCGUCAGAUGCAUCCUCAAGGGCAUUCAAAAUGCAAGGAAGUACACUUUGAUAGUGGGAAACAAUUUCCGGCUGCAAAUGCUCUGCAAACUGACCCAAUGCAAAUGAUGCAGCCCCCCUAACCAUUUCCUCAGGAUCUCUCAGAGCGCCUAAGACAAUAUGAAGAACUGGAUCCAACUUAUCUUUUAUCAUCUCCAAACAACCCUCUGAAUUACACCUAAAGCGGUAACAGAUGCUUCCUGAUAUUUUGGAUUUGCAUUUUUACUGCUUAAAGAAGAAAAUUCAAAGAUAGGGUGGAAAACAUGCUUUGGUAUGUUCAAAGCCAUAGUAUCAAUAACUUCUGCAGCAGCUCGAUCUGGAGCAAGAUCAUCAUCCUUAUCUUCAUCAUUUGAUUCUGCAAGCAAUGGGCACAUAACUUGCAGAAUAGGGAUGACCAGCUUAUGCUUUUUGAGGGAAUUGGAUUUAUACUUUGCUAGCCAUGAAACUAUCUGAAUUGCCUGAAAAGCAACAAGAAGAACAAAUAUGAGGAGUAUUCACAAACAGAGAGCCUUUGUUUAUUACAAAGCAGAUAAGUUAACUUACAGGCAAGCUUAUUGGGACCCAACAGUUUACCGAUGGACCCAACUUUGUUUUUCAUUUUUUUCUUUUUUGCCACUUCACCUUUCCAUUUUUCACUCGUUUAAAAUUUAAAAAAGAAAAACUGAGAAGCACAAAAGCCACAGCAGCUCCACCUUCCGUCAGUGUCUGUAACAGCUGUGCUGCCGGAAAAUUGCCCCCUCCUCUCUCUCUCUCUCUCUUCAUUUCCCUCUUCUCUCCUACCCUCUCUGUAUGCAACUAUCAAAUCCGACCAGCCCGGCCCCCAGAUCGCGGGUCAAAACCCUAGGCUGCAACAACCCAAAAUCACAAUACAAUGCUACAGAUCCCCACAUACAACUGAUAGAGCUGACAGGAAUAAGCACCCCAAGCAACAGAGAGAGCACAAAAUCCAGUAAACUGGAUCUGCAAGAGCUGGUUAGCAUCAUAUGUGAGGGGCAGAGUUGCGCGGUUUGCAGAGAGAGGGGAAAGAGAGAGAAAGAGAAAUAGUAAGCGGGUGGGAGCUACUAUGGUUUUCAGUUGUCUCAGUAUUUCUUUUUUGUAUCUUGAAGGCCAAAAUAUAAAAAGGUCGUACCCAGUGCACAAGGCUCCCGCUUUACGCAGGGUCUGGGAGAGGUGAAGUGGCAAAAAAAUUGAGUCUCAAACAAGAACUGUUAGGUCCAGUCCCAAACUUAUCAGCCCAACCAAAGACUAGGAGCUCAUAGAGAAAAGGCGAGGAAACUUUUGACCGUAUAUACUAACCUGAUGACGUGUAUUAGAUUCUAAACUUUGAGUUGAAAAAACUUCAAAGAGAGAAUUGCACAAUGGAUUUAACAGAUUCACCAAGAAGAGGUGCUGGAGAUUCAAUCAACUCAUCAAAAAUUUCAAAAGCAAUAAUAGCAACAUCCUCCUCGCCAGCUGCAAGGCAUUGUCUUGAUACAUUUAAGAUGCUAGGUAUGAAUUCCCGAAAUUUCACCUAGAUUGGUAUGAAUAAGAUAAAUGCCAACAAAAAUAAACUAAUUAGUUACAACGUAAGAAAUUUGGGAGAAAUGUAAAAUAACACUAAAAACGAAAUGCCUGUUUGGCAUGCUUGACAUCAGAUUACUUGGAAUACAAUGCCAAAGUAAUAAGAUUGUCAUAUUCGGUCAAUUAGACUUGGGCUCUUAUGUUGGUAUAUUUCAGAACUUUGAUUAGCGUGGUCACUGCUUGGUGUUCAAAUUAAUCCAAUUUACAAUUGACUAUCACCUGUGGUUUUGAUGAGAGAGUAAUUUUCUCUUGUGAAAAUUUUAUUCUGAAAUGCUAUUUUUCAUCAACCAUAGAGCACAUAGCAAGCCAUGAUCAGAUCCCAUGAAAUUGAAGCAUUAGGUAUGUUUAAAGAUGUAACAGCCAAUGAAUAUAUAUGAUCAUAUGCACUAGAAAAAAAAAUACAUCAAAGGAAAAAUAACCAUAGGUCUGAUGUGUCUGUCAAAUACAUAACAGUUGAGUGUAAUGUAAGAGAAAUGAAUAUAUGCGCUAAACCAAAUUUUUUCUCACCACAACCAAUCAAGAGCAUGUUCCAUCAUACCAAGAGAAGACUGAAUUUAUUUGUUCAUUUUUCUCAACCAAGAAAUAGAAACUCUUGUUGUUACGGUGAUGGAACCUUAUAAAUAAUACAAUAGUUGCUUUACUUUAUAUUUCAAAAGGCUCAUCUGUUGAGUGGUCUUUGUGCUUGAAUUUCCUUUUCUUUCAUUCUUUAAAUAGAAUGCAUUGUGCUAUCAUUCUGAAUAGUAAACACAUAGUAAUUUAUGGGAAAUUUACAUCUUCAACAUCAUUUUAGGUUAUCCAACUUACCCAAGUAUUAAGGAUAAAACAGAAUACUGAAGAACAUAUUGCUAAUAAAAGAAUUUAUUAAUGAUAAUUUAGUUUCAUUUUUGAUAUCAUUUUUUAUAUAAAUACAAACUCACCACUUCAACCCCAUCAUGAGUGAAUUCCAGAAAAGACCCUACGGCCCUGGCACAAUAAUUAAAAGAUUCAAUUAAGAAAAUACAAGCUAAUCACUUGUUAGCAAAAGAAGCAUAAAAUAUCAAAACUAUGAAUGGAUAAAUACUAAGCAUUACUUGAGCGCAGCAACUCUGACACAGUUGCUUGUCUCAUCCUGCAGGCAUUGAGCUUGCAAAUCUGCGAAAUGUGGCCAAAACGUAUUCCCUAUUGUUUCAGUCAAAGAGCUGAACAGGAUCAAUGCCACCUUAUUCCAACAAAGCAAAACCAACCAUAUAAAUCAGUAUAUUGAAUAUGAACUACAUAACAGCAUGAACAAGAGUGUGCAUUAACUAUUGAAUGAUGUGGAAUGCCCAAUUCCAAAAACAAAUUUUGUCUCCGGUAAACAAUAUUUUGUAGAAUACAGUCUCGCCAACAAAAGAGUUUGGUUGAACAUGCUUCAAGAAUUUUCCUAGAAAAUCCUUUUGCCACUUUUUAUUUUUUUACUUUUGAGAAAGAAAUGAAAUUUCAUUGCAAAUGAUGAUGAAAUUACAAAAGUGAACAAGAUGUUCACAAAGUAAAAACAAAGCCAAAAAAAGAACAAUCAGUGAAACAACAGAAGAAAUCCCCCUAAAAAGCAGCUACGAAAACUCCAUAAAGCUUUAUCCCACUAAGUGGGGUUAGUUGUAUAAAUCCUAGAACACCACUGCGGUCGAUUUUCGCCAAGUCUUCCGUUAACUCCAAGUACUCCAUAUCUUUUCUUAGAGUCUCUUUCUAAGUCUUCCUAGGUCUUCCUCUACCCUUUUUGCCCUCAGCAGCUAAACCUCUGUCUCAUAAUCACAACUUCUAACCGGAGCAUUUAUAGGUCUUCGAUUCACAUGUCCAAAUCACCUUAACCGAUUUUCUCUCAUCUCAUCUUCUAUUAUAUCAAGUCCUACUUUACCUCGGAUAUCCUCGUUCUUAAUCUUGUCCUUUACCGUGUGUCCACACAUCCACCGAAACAUUCUCAUCUUUGUUACACUCAUUUUUUGCCCGUGUUGAUGCUUGACCACCCAAUAUUCCGUGCCAUAAAUUGGAAAGAAAAAAAAAACAGCUUUAAAAUCCCGAAGACAAUAAACAAAUUUUCUCCCAUAACUCCUCUCUGCUACUUCUUUCCGCCCAUAUUACCCAUAAAACAGCCAAAAAAACCCAACCCCCUAAAGUCACAAUUAUUCAAUUUUGCAAAUAAUGCACCAAAGGUUUUGGCUUAACAAACAUUACACCUCCUCUUGUGAGUAAUGUCAUAAGUAUUCACGAACUUUCAGGAUUAAAUAUGGAGGGCAAUGCAGCUAACAUGGGGAACGAUAUAGCGAGCGCAACAAGGAAAAAUAAACGGGCUUCCUUCAGAACACAACGGAAAUUACCUCUCUAUGUUCUUCCUGUGCACUCUGACUACAUUGAAACAGAAAGGGCAACAAAUCCGGCCAUUCUCCAGCCGGGACUGCAUAUUUUGCGACGACACUAACCACAUUGGCACUGGCUCGCCUCACCGGCGGACUGCAUAAACACCACGAAAUCAAUAAGCAAACCAAUUCAAAUACAAAGAAAAUAAAUCACACAGGAGCUCAAGCAAUUAAGCAUCACCCCAAAUAAAAAACAAUCCAAUCGAGAUAAAUUCAGACCUGUGCUCCAUUGUGAUGCUCUCAAUGAGGGACUGCUUAACGAGGUGUUUAAUCUGGGGUGAGAGCUUGGCCCAGUGUCCAGUGAUCUUCUUCCUCAGAAGCACUGCUGCCAAUUGCCUCACGUUCGGCGUCUUGGCGGUGCGGAGGUGCUAUACGAGCGCGGGAACCACCUGAGGGUCCUUGGCCAACCGCUUUAUCUGGUCCUCCGCCUGCCGCCGGGCGUCGUUGUCCGGCAUCAGGAAUUGUAUCAGCAAGAGCUCUAGUGACUGCGACAUGUCGUCUGCUCUAGUCUCUCUCUCGCUCUGUCUGUAUAUCUAGGGUUUCUGGUAUCGUUCGUGCGACGCCGUUUCGGGUGGGGCAAGUUUCCAGCGAAAGGGAAAUGGAGGCGUUGCCUUUUGUUGUAGUGCGAGGGUUUUUUAUUAAGGUUUUGUGGGGAGGGACUCUCUGCUGCUCCCGCCGCCGCUUUGCUUUGGAGUGAAGGCUUUUUAUACGCUGUGGGGACACGCUGGACAGACAAGUAGGUUGUCCCAGGACACUCCCAAUUAAGAGCGGCCUUCUAAUUUUGGUUUGGUAUGCCUUCUUUUUCUCUCACUAACUAUUUGAUGUAAUGUCUGUUGUUCUUGCUCGUUCAGCAAGUUAUAUUGAGAACAUUCGACAGACUCUCAAUAAUACUUAUUAGAUUAUUUCAGCAUAUGUUGAUAUAUAUUGACAUAUAUUGACAUAUAUGUAACAUGGUUUGGUUGACGACAACAAACACAUCAAGUAUUCAAUGAAAUGCCUCAAGAAAGAAAUUGAAAUUGUUUUGCACACUUCAUGCUCUAUUUCUUUGAAAAAAAUAGACAAUUAACAUUGAGACCCGUUAAAUUCAAAACCUGAAUUCGCCACUACUAAAAUCUAUUGUUGCUUAGAUGUGUGCCUAAUAAGUACAAUUUGACACAAAAAUUAAUAAUAGUCAGUGUUUCGAAUUCAAAAAAUUCUCAAAAUAAGAAAAUUAAGAAUCUAAGAAUUUUUCUUUGGACAUGUGGCACAAAAACAAUAGUAAAAUGAGAUUGCAAAAUAUAAAGUAUGACUUGUUACCCCAGGUACUUCACAAAAACAAAGUUAUAUUUAUGCUACGUAAUCAGUUUUAAUAGAUUUUUAAACCAACUUGAUGGUAAUUUUGCCUCAAAAUUUUUUAUCGAUUCACAAAAUUUUGUAAUUACGAUCAGAAGCAUGGAUGAUGUAAAUCAAUAUGUAGCUCUGGUGGAUCGUUUGAAAUUGAUUUUUUUCAUUUGUGGGCUCUCCUGGAGGACCCUGUGCAUUUGGACCAGUCCCUUAUAGUGGUCUUGUGCGAGAUAUGCCGUCCCUUAAUACGUAAUUACUUGGGAAACAAGAUUCCCGAGUGCUUGAGCCUUCACAGAUACCAUUGAUGUCCGAUUAAUUCGUUGGCUGAGUUAUGCAGCAGCAAUACACUGUGUAUAAAUAUAUCUGUUGCAGGAAAAACCUAACGCAAACACUUCUGGUGUCGAGCGGAAAACCCCAUCGACAGUGGGUGCUGGUGAGCUGCCUACAUUUGGGUUGAAAACGAACCCAGAGAGGAAUGUAGUUGCACCCUGCGCCAGCUUAGUGAAACAACUGAGAAAAGCUUAGGUCAACACAUAAACAGUGAGAAGCGCAUGGCCAAGGAAGCAAGACUAAGAGCUCAGCAACUCGACAAGAUCCCUCCGGCAAUGUACUAUCGUCACAAUUUUCUAAGCAUAAAGAGACCGACGGUAUCACAAACACCGUUUUUUGUUGAUGAUUAGUUUUAUUCAGAAUCACGUGUAACAAUUAUCAAUUAAUAACACCACCAACACAUAUGCAAAUCAAAGCAAAAGGGUCGACCCAAAUUAAUAGGCACUGCAUAAAAUAAUAUCCCAAAAGCAGGAGUACAAGUAAAGCAAAUCCAUAUUAAACACAGAAAACUCUACCAUGUAUAUCUGCCAGCCACGAAUGGCAACGAUUGAGCUAUCUAGCUUAAGUAUUCCAAGUCAGACAUAAAUCCAUAAGAACAUGUAAUAUAGCGCGCUGAAACGAAUGAUAAAUCAGAAGGAUGAUAUAUCAUUGCUCAAAAGGGUAGGACUGGGAGGACCCUAAUUGUCCUUAUCUUCAGGGAAGAAGAACUCUUCCCAUAAUCUAGUUUUUUCGAUCUUUUUGUUCGGCUCCGGGCAUUCUGAAGUCCUGUGACCAAUCUCAUCACAAAAGGAACACCAAAGGAUAUUAACACGCCGCCCGUAUAUUUCAUAGCCCUUGCCAACUUGAGUUACGCCGAAGGGGAGACGUCUCCUCCAUGGACAGUGUUCAGGAGCGUGGCCCAACUUAGUGCAUAUUGGACAACUAGAUGGCAAUUCGGAAACUAUGCGUGGCUCGACUAUGCAUUUGGGAAUUUUGUCCUCCUUGAACAAAGCUGGGCUAGUACUCUUCUCCUCUAGUUGGAUUUGAGCCAGUAAGUCUGCAGCAGCCUUUACAUUCUUGAGGUGAAUCGUCGGAGAGUCUUUAACAACCGCCUUUUUUUCUUUCUUCUUCUCUGCGUAUUUGGGAAAAUGUACAGAUAUUACUAACAUUGAUAAGCUAAGUAGGCCAUCCGGAUCCAGGUCCUUAAUUCCGUUAUAUUCUCGAUCUCAAUCAAUCAUUAUAAAUACUUACUACUACGGCUUCACUCUCAAUUACGUGCUACUACUCUGGGUUAAUUUGUUAGGACAACAAAGUUAAACAUGUAUAAAAUAAAUAGCUAUUGGAAAUUAACACUCCCCUACGACUACGAAGUUUUGUUGAAAAUUCUUUCGACAUAAGUAACCGGCCUGGCCAAAUCAAACUGAAUUGCGAUAAUUGAUUGAUUGUGAAUAGAAUAUCAUCUAGCUGGCUACGAAAUUUGGUUGAAAAUUAUCCUCAGUAACCGGGCAGAUCAAUCAUCUUAAUUGACUGUGGAAAUAAUAUCUAGCUAUUAAUAAUUAAACGAAUUAAUUUAUAAAAUAUAGAAAAUAAAAUAAAAUUCUUGGUGCCUUUUAGGGCCUCCAAUUCACUUUCGCAUAGGGCCCUAAAAUCUCAGGGCCGGCCCUGCCUACAACCAUCACUUAACCGAAAAUCCACAAAACUUGAAAGAUCAACGAGGACUCGAAAAUGAAGAAGCUUGCCUUCUUGAGGGCAAGGUGUAUGUACAAUUGUUGAUUAAAAAUACACGCACACCCCCAAAGAAAACACCACCAGUGCACGCAAAUCAAACCAAAGCAAAGCGUCGAUCCAAAUUAAUAGGCAAUGCACAGACAUGAUAGUCCAAUACAUGUGCGAGCAAAGGAAGCCAAAUUAAAUACAGAAAACACCCAACAACAAGGGGUGUAUACAGUGAGUGAAGAGACUAGAAGAACUCUAAGUUCAUUGCAGCAACGACGUCCUCAUAUUAGUGGUUAAUUUGGUAUUGUGAAUUACAUGUUUAUGCAUUCAAUUACGUGCUACUACUCUGGAUUAAUUUGUUAGGACAACAAAGUUAAAUAUGUAUAAAAUAAAUAGCUACUGGAAAUUAAAACUCCCCUACGACUACGAAGUUUUGUUGAAAAUUCUUUCGACACAAGUAACCGGCCUGGCCAAAUCAAACUAAAUUGCGAUAAUUGAUUGAUUGUGAAUAGAAUAUCAUCUAGCUAGCUACGAAAUUCGGUUGAAAAUUAUCCUCAGUAACCAGGCAGAUCAAUCAAGUAUCUUAAUUGACUGUGGAAAGAAUAUCUAGCUAUUAAUAAUUAAACGAAUUAAUUUAUAAAAUAUAUAAAAUAAAAUAAAACACAUAUUUUCAACAUAAGAAGGGAUUUUGAAUUUUUAUGAACAAGGCAUCAAGAACCCUAAUUAAGUUCAAGCUCUGUAACCCUUAAAAUAAUAAAAUAUAUGCAGAUUGCAAUGAGCAUAUGUAGGCCAGUUAUGCUUUUGUAAAUUGGAAAUUACAGAUAAUCUUCCUCGUCACAAACCCUAAAAACGAAAAUUGAAAAGCAAACCAAAAGGACUCCGAAUCUCACCUCGGAGCUUCGUCGAUUGGGUUGGAAUUGGGUUCUUCCCCUUCCCGAAUCCUUGUCCGGCGAGUGACUUGGACUUAUCCUUCGCCUUCGAUGUGCCUUUGGUUCGGCGGUACAUGGUUUUUGUCAUAGAGAGAUUGCGGUUGCAUGAGUUCUUUUUUAUUUUGUUUUGUUUUAGUUGGAUUAUAUGGUAUGCUAAACCUUACUUAAAUACUAAACCUUCAAACUAAAAUUUGACUAUAAUACCCUUCAUAUUUAAUUUGAUUAUCUCCGGUUUUUUGUUUCCUUUUUAGUCUAAUUUGAUCCCAACAUAUGUCGAGAAUCAACACGUGACAAGGAAAAUAACGUCCAUUGAAUACGAUAUAAGUUAUGGAAUAAAAAUAUUUUAACUGAUAAACCAAAAUAAUAUGAAGGUGGCUAAGUUUUCCGCAAAAUAUUUACAAAUAUGAACAACCCAAAAAGAAGCAUAAUCUUUACUUUACUAAGAACCAGAUUGAGGUGCUCAAAAGAAAGUCCCAAAAAAUAAAGUACAAGAUAGGAUAUAGGGGUAACCUAGCACUCCAAAUCUCUGAUAAUUGUACCACUACCCCACCUACGAACCUCUCGAAGCUACUCAUACUUGUUACCUGUAAGAUCAGUGCCUACACCAUCGAAAUAGUACACCGGGCAAACAACAACCCAGAUAAGUUACGAAGCUUGUGUGAGCGAUAAAUAAUACAAGUAUACGAUACUAAUAAUAAAACUAACCACCAUUCACAAUUAUAAACCUUGAAUAUAAAUCAUUUAUAAGAAAUCGCUACCAAACCUUGCAACCUCCGAAGGGGUCACACAUACAUCCAACGAGUUUUCUAAAUCAAAACUCAAAGUUCUCAAAGCCACAUUCACAUAUAUAUUCAAAACUAGAUUUAGAGAGACGUCGUUUGGCCGAAGCCUACGCAAAUAACCAAUUAGGAAGUGGCCCCCCAAAACGGCUCAACCAAGCAAAGCCACCCCUAAGAAAGUAACCAAGAAGGUAGUGACCCCCAUUGCGGAUUACCAAGCAGAGUCACCCCUAAGAAAAUAACCAAAUAGGUAGUGACCCCCCAAUGCGGAUUAACCAAGCAGAGUCACUCCUAUAACUAUUGGAAGGUGAUCACCCGAUGCGAAUUAACCAAGCAUGAUCACCUUUAAAUGUGUAUGGCCAUACCUAGGCUAUAAGGAUCGCCCAACGCGGAUUAACCAAGCGCGAUCCACAAAUAGUAUGGUCCCCUAACGCGGAUAAACCAAGUAGGACCAUCCAGGACCAUUGCUAUGUGGUGCAGACUUAGUGUCACCUAACCCCAUGACACUAGGGUAAUGGUCCUUCACAAUCCAUCAUUUUUAUCAUCCAUCACAUAUAUAUCCCAAAACGCAAUCCAUCAUUUUUAUCAACCAUCACAUAUAUAUACCAAAACACAAUCCAUCACAGUUCAAAUAUCCAAGUCACUUAAUGUUUCAUAAGUAUAUCGACGUUACUAGCAACAAUUAUUUAGCAUCAGAACUAUUUUGAGAAUCCAUAGUAUAACCACAAAGUUUAUUAGCACAGAGGAUUUCAAAGCAAUAACCAUAAUACAUAGAUUAGAACCACUCACCUGAGAUCCACACUAACGCACUCAAACACGAGAGUCAAGGCAUCACGUUCUAUCACCGCCUAACAAGGUACAAACCACAUUUAGAUUUCCUUCGAUAAUUCACAUACUUAAAACUCUUAUAUAUUUCCCACAACAACAUUUAAUAAGGAAUCGAACUGUCAUUUUAAGGUAGGGUCCUUGAUCUUACUGUCACUUAUUCCAUAAUAUCCAAUCACUAGAUUUUCACUUGUAAGUCCCUAAGGUCCAUAAACAUUAUCUACCAUAGCAUACUAAAAGUGGUGUCAAUUCAAUGAUAAGAUCAUCAAUCGCUAGAAUAAUCAAGUGGCGGAGCUUAUCGAUAAAAUACUCAACCAACAACAUUUUUAUAAAUCGAAUGUCACACACCAGAAAAUUUGACUUUCUCAAAAAAUUCUCAAAUUUUACAGGAAUAAAGAUUUCAACAAGUAGAGUAAAUUUUAUACCUGUGGUCGAGUCCAAUUUGGCCAGGAAAGCCCUCAAAUUGGCUCGCACCCAACGAAACCCUAAGGUGGGUGUCCUUAAAUUCGGCUUCCUUGGUGUUCCAACGCUCCAACCACCAGUUGGGUCUUGUUCUUGGGUCCAAGGGAAGUUGAUUAAGGGUGAUGGUGAAUGGUGAUACUCUCCGGAAUGACAAUUUAUCAUCGAGAACCUCCGGGUUCUCCUAUGGAGUUCUACAUGAAAUAAACCUUAAAAACCCCUGAUUUUUGGUAGAAAGGGAAGGAGGAAGGUAGUUGAGCAAGUUGCAGGUGAAGGAGGUAGGAAAAUCAACUGGGAAAUGGAAGAAAUAGCCUGAAAUUGGCCAGUUUGAAAUUUGGCUGUGGACCUCACGUUUUCACGAAUUAGAGGGAAAGAAAGUGCCGUGCCUUUCUUUCCAAAUGGGUCUUUAAUACCCCUUUUUCAAAAAUGAAAACUAAUGAAAAAUGCUUGAAAACUUUGAGUUUUAAUGAUAAGGACAAUAUAAAGGGUAAAGUGAAUAGUACCAGGAUUGACUUUUUAGUGUAAAAAUGUGAUUUUUCGUUAAAGUGAACAGUACCAGGUGCUUUUCGUUAAAGUUCCCUUUUUAAAAAUCUAACAGGUUCCUCGUUUUUUUUUCUCUACUAACUUAACUUAACCUUUAAUCCAUGCUUCUCACAAUCUAUAGUUCACAACUUCAAACAUCCGUAACUAUACCCUUAUAAUUCGGACUUGCAAACAGCUUUCACCUAUGCGUUCGUGGGUUCGAGGCUAUUUAAAAACAGUAGUUGUAACCUCGAAAUAUCGACAAAAGAUAAAGAUUGAUUAUGAACUUUCCAACUCGAUAACUAAUCAAUUACUAAACUUAAAAUUAAUGGAAUUAAAAUUAACUAAUAAAGUUAACAUAAGCGCGAGAUACGAGUUUUAAAAUACAAGAUAUGUAAUAAUUGGUGAAAUUCCGGGGAUGGAAUUUCACACUAUCUCUCCAUUAUUUGUGUGGGCUGGGCUAAUAACAAAGAUAAAUUAACAUUUAACGAACGAAUGAAGCUUGAAUCAAACUUGGAAUUGUUAAGAGAUUUACUAUCAAAUUUCAAACGUGUCUUGCGAAGAUGACCAUGAAUGCAGCAUCUGCAUAAUUGAAAUUUGAACUCUGAAAGGUAAUUGAGUGUUGGAAAGUAGCUGAAGUUUCAUAGACAUUAUCCCCCACCAAAGUUAACGUGUGCCCCAAGCAACCAUUACACACGGACUCAAAACUAAACGGACUCAAAACUAACAAUCGACACAAAAGAAAGAGAAUGUCCAGAUUAACACCUACAACCAGUGCCGGCCCUGAGGGGGUGCAAUAGGUGCCACCGCACAGGCCCCUGAUUUUUCAAAUUUGCAUGCAUUUACACACACACACACACACACACACACACACACACACACACACACACACACACAUAUAUAUAUAUAUAUAGUAGCAUGUGUAGAAUAUUACAAACUUGAGUCUUAGCGCAAGUGGUAUUACUGCUUCUUUACAGCGGCCUAGGAUUUGGGUUCAAAACUCGUCUCCAUCAUCUUUUUAGUUUAUUUUUAUUAAAUACAUAAGCUUCCACAAAAUAAUAUAAAAAUUCCACACAAUAACAUGAAAAUUCAAACCAUGACCCUCUAAAAAGUUAAGGAAAAACUUGUCUAUGGCAUUUAGUACAAUUAUGAACUUUCAAAAACUCAUUAUGUUUAGUGAAAACCUUGAAAACCAUGCAAAACCUUGAAAUUCAUGCAAACCCUAGGAAUAUGGUGUUUACCCUAAAAGAAUUACAACCCUUAACCACAAGAAGCAAGCCUCAAAUUAGCUAUAAUAUUUAGUCUAAUUUACAUCAAGUAACUCAAUUAAUAAUUUUGAUGGUAGCUAAGCGUCAAGAUAAUAAGCACGGUGAUUAAGAAUCCCAUAUUAAAAGGCAAUCGUAAGACAGGCAAAAUGAGAAAACUAGAUUAUCAUAUUAGGGUUUCAUCAUUGCCUAGCAAGGGUGUUUAGUUACACAUAGUCAAAUUAAUAACAAUAAGUCAUGAAAAAGAACAAAUAGUACUCGAAAUAACAACGGUGAUGUGCUCCUAAGCACCCCUUUCUCUUUUGGACAAAUUUGUGUGUAUGGUGACAUGUAGAGAGAUCAUAGGACAUAUAUUUAUACUAAAAAAACACUAAAAGGUCUGGUAAAAGCUCUCCUAGAAAAACAAAAUCCAAAACGAUAUUGGACACAAACUAAGAAACAAUUCUUCUUGACUUGGGAGAACAUGUGAUCCAUCUUUCAUGCUAGAUCUGGGGUCGUUCCAGCUUCAUUUAUGUGGAAUUCUGAAAAAUAGGAAACUUAUAGCUCUAUGUCUAGGCAUAUAAGGCACGACACUUGAAAAAUUAGAAAAGCCUUCAAAUCUUCAUUCUCCCAUAGUUGCACAAUUUUACUGAGAAUGUAACUUUUACGGGAUUGAUUUGCAGAACUGGAAUGUUUGACUUCAUGAAAAAACGUGAAAGUUGAACACAACUAUCUUAAUCCUCUUAGCUUCCUUCCAAUUGACUAUAAAAAAUUCUCCGAUAAGUCUAUUUAUAAAGAAAAAAAUAUCAUAAGUGCACAAAUUGACUAAAUUAAUAAAAAGAAUUUAAAAGACUCUAUAAAGACCAAUUCCUAACGAAUCCUUAAAAAAUAUGAAGGCAUUAUUGGGAGGACAUACUUCUCAUAAAAAAAUAGUCAACCAAAUUUUAACAACAUGAAUAUUUAUACCCUCGAAAAUAACCAUUCUAUUUCCAACGAUAAUAUCGUUUAUCGUUAAGAUGAUCGGGGCCAAGCCUUCCUACCAACUAAAGUACAAUUCGAGCGGCCAUUGGGACUAUUUUUUAAUGCAUUAUGUGUGUCGAAAAAAAAAUUCAUUUCCUUUGACAUGUUUUUUUCUUGUAGUGUAAGGCAAUGUAAGUUUCAAGAACAAAGGCACAGAUGAAAUGUGUUUAACAACCUAACUUAAACUUUUGAUAACUAUAUUUUAUUGAUGUUGUUUGCAUGCGUCGUUUAUUUGGCCUAGGUUUGGAGUAACGACAGAAUAAAAUCUUGUAUGCACAAAGUCGUUUUGAAGGAAACUAAGGUAAGAUACUCGUUCGGACAAUUCUUUUGGAACAAAGGAGUGAUAUAUGUACCGAAUGAGCUUACGGACGAGGACCACCCCAUGCAGUAUAAGCCAAUAGACCUAGUGGAAUAUCUUCAAUAUUAUUAUGAAAAUAUGCACACCGUGGGAUUUGAUUUUUCGGUCAAGGACUAUUGUGGGAAGCAUGACGCCACAAGCAUGAGUUUGAAAGGAGGUGUAGGAAAAUAAUAAUGGAAAGUUUCAUGUACUUAGAUUCACUUUUUCUCGUGGGUUUAGCCUUUGCUUAUUCAAUAAGACGUGUAUCUUGUUCUCUAUAAAUACUUCCAUACGAAGUCUAUCGGAGUUGAACCGAGGUUGUAUUCGUAUCAAAUAAUUAUACUUUGGUAUGCUAGAUUUGUUGUGCUAGGAUAACACCAAACCCGUUGGAACCAACUCAAGCUAACCCACAGGAAAUUUAUCAAAUGAAAUGCAAGAACAAAAUAUUAAAGACACCAAGAUUUUAACGAGGUUCCUCAACAGUCAGUGUAACUGGAGUACGUCCUCGGAGCAGUAGGAGCUCACCCAAUAAUCCACUAUCAACCAAAUGGGAGUUUACAAAGUGUUGGCAAUCUCACAACCCAAAUAACCCAAUACACCCAAUAGCUCUCACACACCACAGAAACAAAUAGAGAAAGAAAUAUAAUGUAUAAUUUCUUCUCUAUACAUAUAGCUCAAAGCUAUUACAACAAUACCUAUUUUUGAUGGAUGAUUGCUAACAAAAGGAAGAGCACUUUCUUCUUCUCUUCAACGAAGGGUUGCUGCACCCUUUCUAUUUUUCUGAUGCACUCCUUUUCUCUGCAGCUCUCUACUCACUCUUCUCUCUUCUGCUCUAAUCUGAAAUUGAGCUCUCCUUUUCUUCUCUAUCUACCGAAACAAAACAAUGACUUAUUAUUUAAACCAAGCCAUCACUUUCGGCUAAUAAAAAACCACAAAAGAAGAAAAAACAUCAUCAUGAUGCCUCCUCAUCAUGAUGUCUUUAUAAUUUUAUAACCAAAAGUUUUUUCUUUUCCUUUUUUUAAUAGCCGAAAGUAAUUGUUGUUUGGCCAUAAUUUAACAAUCUCCACCUUGGCCAAAUUUCGAAAACACCAUGAUAAGCCAACCAACACAAUCAACACAAAAAAAUCACUCCCAAACACUAGUACGAGAACAACUCAUACCGAGCCAAAUGCUCCAAAACUCCUACUGCUCAACGCCUUCUUUAUAUAGGCAUAAUGUGAGCCAAGUUCAAACAGUGAACAAACUUGGCUACAGCAACCUUAGUCAACAUAUCAGCGGGGUUGUCUUUAGUUGGAAUCUUCUGGAGAAUGAUUUCCCCUUCACCAACAAUUUCACGAACAAAGUGAUAACGCACAUCUAUGUGCUUGGUCCUCGCAUGAUGAACCUGAUACUUAGCCAAAUAAAUGGCACUCUGACUAUCACAAUGUACCUCCACCUGCUUCUGAUCAACCCCCAAAUCUCUAAUCAGCCCAUGUAUCCAAAUGGCCUCCUUUAUAGCUUCAGCAACUGCCAUAUAUUCAGCCUCUGUAGUAGACAAGGCAACAGACAACUGCAAAAUGGACCUCCAACAAACUGGUCCUUUAGCCAUAGUAAACACAUAGCCUGUAGUAGACUUCCUUCCAUCUAGAUCACCUGCAUAAUCUGAAUCAACAUAACCAACUGCAAAAUGACUAAUACUAGAGUCAUCCCUCUCAAAGCAUAAACCAACAUCUCGAGUACCAUGGAGAUAUCUCAAUAUCCACUUAGCUGCUUGCCAAUGCUCUUUACCUGGAUUAUGCAUAUAUCGACUCACCAUGCCAACUGCAUGAGCAAUAUCCGGUCUAGAGCAUACCAUUGCAUACAUCAAACUACCAACCAAAUUUGCAUAUGGUAUAUUUUUCAUUUGCAGCUUCUCUUUAUCAGUUUUAGGACACUGUAGAGAACUCAAUUUAAAAUGAGGAGCCAAAGGGGUACUAACCGGUUUGGUUGAAUCAUGAACUCCAAACUUCCGAAUCAACUUCUCAAGGUAUUGUCUUUGAUUCAAACUGACGAAACCCUUUGCUCUAUCUCUAGUGAUCUCCAUGCCAAGGAUCUUCUUCGCUUCACCAAGAUCCUUCAUCUCAAACUCAUUCUUCAUUUGCUUCUUCAAUUUCUCAAUCUCUUCGACAUUCUUUGAGGCAAUCAACAUAUCAUCAACAUAUAUCAAUAAAUAAAUGAAAGACCCAUCUUGCAACUUCUUGAAGUACACACAAUGAUCAUAUUGACUUCUAGAAUAAUUUUGGCCUCUCAUAAAUUUAUCAAACCUCAAAUACCAUUGUCUUGGAGAUUGCUUCAAGCCAUAAAGUGAUUUCUUCAAUUUGCAAAACAAAUUCUCCUUCCCUUUCACUACAUACCCAUCCGGUUGACACAUAUAAAUCUCUUCAUUCAAAUCACCAUGUAGGAAAGCCGUCUUCACAUCAAGUUGCACAAGCUCAAGAUCAUAUUGUGCAACAAGAGCUAACAUAAUACGAAUUGAGGAGUGUUUCACAACUGGAGAAAAUAUUUCAUUGUAGUCAAUGCCCUCCUUUUGUGCAUACCCUUUAGCAACUAAUCUUGCUUUAAAUCUCACAUUGCUUUUCUCAUCAGCAUCUUCCUUCUUGGCAUACACCUAUUUGCAACCAAUAGCUUUCUUGCCCUUAGGCAAUUUAGCUAACUCCCAAGUCUUGUUCUUCAAGAGAGAAUUCAUCUCAUCACCCAUGUCAUUGCACCACCUAUUCUUCUCCUCACUCUCAAUAGCUUCCUCAAAAUUGGAUGGAAUCUCUUCAGUGAUAAUAGGAAGAGCAAAAGCAACAUAAUCACUAUAACGAGCUGGCUUAGUAAUUUGUCUCUUUCCUCUGUUCUUGGCAAUAGACUCUUGAGGUGAAACUUGCUCUUCAACUUGAAUAGAAUCUUCAAGUUCAACUUCUUCAUCCUCAUGGUCUCCCACUUCUUCACUUGUAGUGGCUUCGACAUCAGCGGAAAUAGGAUUUGAAGUACCAGAGGCAACUUUCUCAAGCUCCACCUGUUGGACAUCUUUCACAUUCUUCUCAGAGACUUUGUACAUACUUUCUUCGUCAAAUGUCACAUCUCUACUAAUUACCAGUUUCUUCAUCUCUGGACACCACAACCUGUAACCUUUGACACCACUACUAAAACCAAGAAAAAUAGCCUUUUUGGCUCUAGGAUCAAGUUUAUUUUCAGUCACAUGAAAAUAAGCAGGUGAACCAAAAAUACGGAUAUAGUCAUAAUCAGAAGAAGGUUUUCCAAUCCAUACCUCCAUUGGUGUCUUACCCUGAACAGCAGCUGAGGGUAACCGAUUGAUGAUGUGACAUGCAUAAUUAACUGCUUCUGCCCAAAAUGACUUGCUUAAACCCGACUGAGACAACAUACAUCUAACCUUCUCAAGCAAGGUUCGAUUCAAUCUUUCUGCAACUCCAUUUUGUUGUGGAGUUCCCCGAACACUGAAAUGUCUCACAAUUCCUUCCUCUUUGCAAACUUUAAAGAAAGGAUCGGAUGUGUAUUCACCACCAUUAUCCGAUCUCAAAAUCUUAAUCUUUCUCCCAGUCUGGUUCUCAACCAUUUUCUUCCAACUCAAGAAAAUGCUCAAUACCUCACUCUUGUGCUUCAUAGUGUAAACCCAAGACCUUCUUGAAUAAUCAUCAACAAAGGUCACGAACCAAUGUCUACCACUCAAAGAGGGAGUCUUUGUAGGACCCCAAACAUCCGAAUGCACAUAAUCAAGAAUGCCCUUUGUCUGAUGUACAGCAGUACCAAACUUCACUUUAGUUUGCUUCCCCAAGACACAAUGCUCGCAGAAAUCAAGCUUACAAGUCGUGGCACCUUUUAGAAGACCUUUUUCACAAGCCCUUGUAGAGCUUUCUCACCGGCAUGGCCUAAUCUCAUAUGCCACAAUCUAGUAGUAUCUGAAUCAGAUGUGCCCAUAUUUUCAGAGACUACAGAUGCUUCACCUGUCACAGUGCUUCCCUGCAAUAAAUACAAAUGGCCACAUCUAGGAGCUUUCAUCACAACAAGUGCACCAUAAGUAACUUUCAAUGUCUGUCCAUCUGAAUGAAACCUGAAACCCUUAGAUUCCAAAGUACCCAAAGAAAUAAGAUUUUUCUUCAAAUUCGGUACAUACCGAACACCUGUCAACUCUUUAACCAUGCCAUCAUGCAACUUCAAACGAACUGUACCAAUCCCUUUUGUUGUGCAAGGAUUGUCAUCUCCCAUGAACACAACGCCACCAUCAAACUCUUUCAAGCUUGAAAACCAAUCCUUAUGAGGAGUCAUAUGAUGAGUACAACCCGUAUCCAACACCCACUUAGUAGCACAAUCAAAUGAUGAGGAAGUGGUUAAAGCAAAAUCAGAAAAAUCUGUUUCAACCUCAGCAACAUUAGCUUCAGAACUUUCUUUGCCUUUGGUCUUCAAUUUUGGACAAUCUUUCUUCCAAUGGCCCUUAUUACGACAAAAGGCACAUUCAUCCAUUUCCAAAGGUUUUCUACCUUUAGAGUUUCCUCUAGGUCGAGACUGUGAUUUUUUCCUACUAGAAGAUGACUUCCUCUCCGAUGAUCUACCUCUAACAAAUAAAGCUUCAGAGGUACUAUCAUGAUUUUUAUCUCUAUGCCUCAUUUCAUAAUUCAUCAAGGCAUUUGACACAUCUUCAAAUUUCACAGUUUCUUUACCAUGCAUAAUAGUGGUAACAAAAUGCUCAUAAGAGUCCGGCAAGGAAUUCAACAAUAUUAAGGCCUUAUCUUCAUCCUUAAUAUCCUCAUCUAAAUUUAACAAGUCGGCAAUCAACUUAUUAAAAGCAUCAAGGUGUCUAAUCAUUUUUGUACCUUCUUUGUAUUGGAAGCGGUAGAGCUUUUUCUUCAAGUGUAGCCGGUUCUCUGCAUUCUUCGUCAUAUACUUGUCUUCCAAUUUUUGCCACAACACACUUGCUACCGUCUCCCGCAUCACAAAAUACUUCUGAGUUUUUGCAAGGCACAACCGAAUUGAAGAGCAAGCCCACAAAUUUAAUUUCUCCCAUUCCGACUUCGACAUAGCUUCCGGCUUCUCUCCCAAAGCGGCAAGUAGAUCUUGUUGAGCCAACACAUCUUUGACCUCACAUUGCCACAUCCCGAAGUUGUUUGUGCCAUCAAACUUUUCCACUUCGAACUUUGCAUUUUGCACCGUAGUUCUUGCAAACCCGGAGCUGCUUCCAAAAGGAUUUUCAUCUUGCCCGUCUGACAUCUUUGGCAACUAGACAGUACCCAAGAGCAACUAGUGCUCUGAUACCAAUUGUUGUGCUAGGAUAACACCAAACCCGUUGGAACCAACUCAAGCUAACCCACAGGAAAUUUAUCAAAUGAAAUGCAAGAACAAAAUAUUAAAGACACCAAGAUUUUAACGAGGUUCCUCAACAGUCAGUGUAACUGGAGUACGUCCUCGGAGCAGUAGGAGCUCACCCAAUAAUCCACUAUCAACCAAAUGGGAGUUUACAAAGUGUUGGCAAUCUCACAACCCAAAUAACCCAAUACACCCAAUAGCUCUCACACACCACAGAAACAAAUAGAGAAAGAAAUAUAAUGUAUAAUUUCUUCUCUAUACAUAUAGCUCAAAGCUAUUACAACAAUACCUAUUUUUGAUGGAUGAUUGCUAACAAAAGGAAGAGCACUUUCUUCUUCUCUUCAACGAAGGGUUGCUGCACCCUUUCUAUUUUUCUGAUGCACUCCUUUUCUCUGCAGCUCUCUACUCACUCUUCUCUCUUCUGCUCUAAUCUGAAAUUGAGCUCUCCUUUUCUUCUCUAUCUACCGAAACAAAACAAUGACUUAUUAUUUAAACCAAGCCAUCACUUUCGGCUAAUAAAAAACCACAAAAGAAGAAAAAACAUCAUCAUGAUGCCUCCUCAUCAUGAUGUCUUUAUAAUUUUAUAACCAAAAGUUUUUUCUUUUCCUUUUUUUAAUAGCCGAAAGUAAUUGUUGUUUGGCCAUAAUUUAACAAGAUUCUUGCUAUGCUGUGCUGUGUUGUUUCCAAAUGGAAUCAAUCCAAAAGCCUGUUGUUUCAAAGGAGAUGGUGCUCACAUUCCCCCAAUCUCAAACUGUCGACACAACAUAACAACGAUUUAGUAUGGAAAGUGAUUUUUGCAUGCCAUUUUCACCUCCCGCACAUCCUUUAUUCAUUUCUAACCAUUGGAUUUAACAAAUAGGAGAACCAGGAGCUAAAAUUUAGAGGGGCGUGCAAAAAUUACUCCCCUUUCGGAUUCGGUCAACAUGGGUUAGUUGUCGCUCCUAUCGACUCUAGUUACCAACCAUGGAUUAAUUAGAAUUAGAUGCCUCAUUUUAGAUUGUUCUAAAUUAAACAUCUGUUACUUUUCAACUUUUGAUUAAAGUGCUUUUACUUUUAAUUAAACUUUAUAUUCCAGGUAUAUUCUUAAUUUAAGUAUUUUAUAAAUUCUUUUAAAUCCAUUUCUAUGUAAAAAAAAUGCACUCAAUAAUAUUCAUUAAUUUAUUACCAUUUUUAUGGAAUCUCAUCCCUUCCUCAAUUUAAGGAUUCAAUUAUAUCUACUGGGGUUCAAGAUUAAUUGGAUGAAAUAUAGUUUUUCCAAUUUCCAACUCAACAUUUUAUAUAGAUUAUAAAAAAACAAGAGUUCGUUUAUAAUUAAAAUUGAGAUGUAGACUAGACUGCCUAAUUUCAUGCAACUGAAAAUAAAUUUGAAUUUUUUAACAACUACUUAUAGUAGAAACGUGAACCAAGAGUUUUCACAUUUUUAUUUUUAUUUAAAAUGAGUCUUUAUUCCAAUAAUUAAUUAUUAAGAGUUGACGCAAUGUUUUAAUGUGAAAAGUUAUAUUUUUUUUGGGUUACACAACUUACACAUAACGUACCAUAAGUUUUGUACGUACCAAAAUAUGGAUAAUACAACGUACUAAUAACUUGGUACAUACUAAAUAAAGAAUUGCAUAACGUACCAAAAGCAAGAUUUUAUAACAUACCAAAAUACUAAUACAUACCCAGAUUAAAUUUAUAUAACGUACCAACAACGUGGUACGUUAUAUUUAAUAUAUCUGUUUGGUACGUUAUAUUUCAUAUAUGUGCAUGUUAUAUUUCAUAAUUGUAUGUUAAUAGGAUGUUUAUGUAUUUUAAGAAUUUAAAACAACAAAUUAUUUGAAUAAGAAAAAUUCAUUUUGAACGAAGUAUGAUAAGAUAAGAUAGGAAGUUUGUGAUGAUUUUAGAACAUUUGUGAUAUUAUUUUCUGAACUAGUUAGUUAAUUAAAUACAAUAAAAAUCAUAAUUUUUAAUUAAAAAUUAGUAGAAGAAUGUUUGAUCAAAAGUUUAAAAGUUAUAGAUGUUUGAUUAAAAAAAUUCAAAUUUGAGGCAUCUAUAUCAAAAUGCCCCAAAACAUAAAUUAACCGUACUCAAGUCCCAACUGAAAAUUAGUACAUAUCAAAACACAUUUCUUAAAUAACACAAAAGUAACCUUGUUACUAUAACUGCUGAAAAUCGAAAGCGCCAAUUUUACCGUUGGCAAUUUGAUUCUGCAAGCAAUAACUUGACAACGCUGCGUUACACAUGACGAUAUACUAUGGGUAUGCAUCAUCUUCACUAAUUCUGUGAGGGGAAAGGCGAAAUUUUCAAACCUAUGGAAACCCGACAGCGGACAACCAUGAUACUCAAACAAAUAAUAAAAUCACGCACAUAAAAGUAUCAAAGAAUGCACACGAACGCUCCAAGCAGACCGGAGAAUGGAAAGAAGAUUCGGGGGGAAAAAGAUACCACAGGAAAAUAAGGAAGAAGAAGAAAAAGCAGUAUCACCAGCCUUGAAAAAUGGAGGUGGUAAUAGGAGGAGGAUCACCUGUAAGAAUGAACAAAAACACGUAUAGAAGGUUAAUGCAAUUUGCAAAUUAGGCUUCAAAGCCUCAUAGGGCAUUUGCUACUUUUCUCACCCUAGGUCGCAGGCAUUACCUUAUAGAACGAUGUCCUCCUCCAAGACUUCAGCCAACCCAUCUAUAAAACCUGGGAACAACACACCACCGUCUUUGAAUUGGAAAAGAAUCUCAGCAAAAAAGGCGGGUAGAAACUAUUGGUGAGGAAUCACAAUCCACAGGCCCAAUCGAACAGCUUCCUGGAGCAAAUGCAACGAGAAGGCAAGUCACUGGCUCACCCCGAAUCAGCUUUUCGGGACAAAUGCAGCUAGGGCAUUUGCAUAAGCAGGGGAGAGGUUACUCAAAAGGGGCUGCAUUUGUUGGCCAUAGAGUGAAAUCAGGUGAGCAAAAGCUCUUCCGAUUUGUGCUUUUACUUCAGGAGUUUCAACUGGUGAUGCCACAACUUGAGCAAAUACAUUAACCAGAUCUGGGACUAGAGAAAGGAUCUGCUUGGAAAAUAGAAUGAGUGGGUAAGAAAACUUAUGGUCAACUCCAUAAACAAAAAGGAUAAGAAAACAAGAAAAACAGAAAAGACCAAGUAAGUUCACCUUCUAGGAUUACCCUAUACACAGGGAGCUUCCAUAGAGGGAUCCCACAUAGUUUGUAUGAUACGUACACACAUAUUAUAAAUGUGUGUGUGUAUAAAUGAUAUAUAUCUUAUCAUUUUAAUCUACACAAGUUUCAGACUGAAAUCAUGGAGCUGUGAACUAACCUGGGCAUUAGAUGAUAAAACAAGAGUAGAGACGCAACUAUACACCGUCAUGGACUCUUCACGAUCUUCUUUUAGUGGAAGAACCUUCAAGAAAACAGGAAGUACCUGCAAAUUUAACAAGGAGAUAUAUACUUAAGCUCACCAAAACGAAACCAAAAUGAUGGAAAACUGAUAAUACUAAAGCAGAAAAUGUCAGCAGGACACUUACCUGAUUCAAUGGGAUAGAUUCAGGGUGCACCAUUAUCAUUCUUGCCACUGCACCAGCUGCGUUAUCCCUGACAGCAUCAUCUGGCUCAGAUUCCCCAAAUAGUGGGUAAAGUCCACGCAAUAUAUCACCAUAGUAUCUGGGAAUUGAUUAAAGAACAAGCUAGUGGAAGGCACAUUCUAGGUUUCAAUGCCAAACUAACUUCUACAAACAACAUAAUUUUAAAGAUGAUUCAUCACAAAUCCUGUAAUACCUGAACUCAGAACACGAAUCAGAGGAUCACAAAAAUUCCAAAGAAAAAAUCAGGAACAGGGAAAAGACAUUAAAAAGUCUUAACAUAAAAAAAAGGAUACUUCAACGUCCCCUCACCCCCAUUUUUGCACAGCUCUCCAACACAAAAUGCAGCAUUCCUUCUAUUGGUUGCGUCUGAGGAUGCUAGUUCUUUGAUUACCAAGGGCAUCACCCUCUGAAAUCAGACACAAAUUUCAGAAACUAGCUUAAUGUAUUCUCGAACUUAAUGUACAUCCUUAAUUUAUAAAAGAAUAAUGUAUAAAAAUUUUGAUAAAAUUACAUCGACAUAUCCAGCAAUUGGAGCACCCAUGUCUUGAGCAACUUCAGCAAGGCAGGCAACAACCAUUGUCCGAUCUUGCAGUGGCUGCGAUGCUCUGAAUACAACAAUAGUUAAAUUAGCAAAAUACCUACCGUAGGAAAUCGCUAGCAAGGUAUUGCAACUAAAUUUGAUAUAAUGUUUAUGCAACCCACCGCAAAUUUCAUUAAAGGUUCAAAUAGCGUAGCAAAAAUAGGUGCAAAAUGAGGACCCAUUGACUUUGCAAAAGCAGGAAGAAGGUCAGAAACUGCAUCCAUAAGUUCUUCAUCAUGUACAACAUCAUCAUCAUCAAUUUCAUCAUCAGAUUCUGUCUGCUGACAAGCUGAUUCCUCCCGAAGCAGUACCAAAGUAGCAUCAACAACCCGUGGUACAUCUGAUAUCGGAUGACAGCAUUUUAUCAGCCUUUAGAAAUUGCUUCAACAAAGAGGACAACACCCAACUAUAAAUUAUACUUACAAGGCUCAACAGCCAUAUAUCCAUAAUCUUUGAUGAUAUCAGCAAGGCUCAUACAAGCUUGAGCAACAACUUCCUUGUCAUCAUCUUCAGUCAUAGUCUUGAUAUAAGUGUUCAUCACAGUAUCUGCAGUGAAGAGUUUGAUUUUAAUGUUAACAGAAAACCAGGAUGCGGACAGGUACAUAUAUCUUCCGUUUUUCAGGUCAAUCUUACCCAGAAUUUCCUUAGCCCUUGCUUGUCCUUCCUGCAAAACAAGAACACAAGUAAACUUAGUACCAUAUUUUGAUACCAACUAACUCCAAAUAUAAUCUCAACUAUAAACAAAGUGGCACCAAAGAGGAGGCUCCAAGAAGCACAUUAGAGUACAGAUGAAUAGGCAACAAACAAGUUUGCAAAACCAAAUAACAGGGAUCAUGACAUGCACUGCACACUUGCAUGUGGAGAGAGAGAGAGAGAGAUGACGGCCACUAACAUUAUGAUUCUGGUAAACUGCCUGUGCUGCUGUUAAAAUAUCUGUAUUUGAAAUCAACCAAACAUAGUUGUUAAUGGACAAGUGAUAUUAAAUAUCAUAAAAUCUACAGAAAAGCAAGACUAUACUCAAUAAAAAUUAUCCCUGUAGCACCAACUCAUCCACAUUUCCAAUAUAAUUCAAAAUAAGUAUACUUUGACAGACAGCAUGCAGAUACAGACAAUAAGUUUGAACUCACGUUUCAGAGAAAUGAUUGCCUGAAGCCGAACAUCUUCAUGAAAAUACCCUGAGUGUCGUACUAGGAUCUUAAAUGAUUCCUCCAAAUAGCUUAAAAGAAGUCAAAGAUCCCAAAAUAAUAUCUUAUUGAUUAACAUUGUAUAUCCAUAAACUUAGAAUAUAACCUAAAAAUCAAAUAAAAUUAGAUGUUGGAUACGGUGCAUAUGAGGCCUUCGUAUGUAGUGCAAAUAAGCCAAGAGCUUGAGUUGCAGCUGCCUUUUCAUCUAAAACUCCUGUUCUUACGCUGAUAUUUCGUACUCUUGGCUCAUCAUGAGCUUCAUCAUCAGAUGAAACUCCACCAAAUCCAUUAAUAUUUUCAUCAUCAGACUCAUCGAUGUCCACUGCAGCUCCAUCAUCAAGAUUGCAGGAAGAAAACGCCAGGGGUACAACAUGAGGAAGAUACUGUUUUCAAAAGAGGGGAAAAACUCAUGAAAAACGGGCAACAAGUGAACAAUUACAUUAAGCGUAACCCAACUAAAGCCUUCCAUACCUGUAUAAAGCUGUCAUCCAAAAUUUCUACCACAUUGCUAAAGAAUCCAUGAAUAUACUCCCGAAGUUCACUGAAAUCCAAUCCAAAACCCUGUGAUAACACUAGACAUGUUAAUUAACAUCAUUGAGACAAAAUGAUCAAAGGAAAGAGGAAAUGUAAUUACAGAAAUUGCAGCUUCUAUAUAAGGGGGUAAAAUUGGUUCCAUCCUAGUUCUCCCCACACACAUUGCAACAAUUCCAACUAAUUCAGUAGCUCUUGCUCGUGAACGAAGAUCCUCAUCAUUACUAAGCACCAAGAAACUUUUCAUCAACUCCAAAACCCUUUCAGCAUACGGAA